GAGACUAGAACGUUGAUAGGCAGGGUGUGUAAGCGUUGUGAGGCGUUGAGCUAACCUGUACUAAUUGCCCGUGAGGCUUAACCAU
RNAcentral lists this ribosomal RNA (85 nucleotides) under Vibrio cholerae. RNAcentral's name for it is "partial 23S ribosomal RNA". It matches the Rfam family "Bacterial large subunit ribosomal RNA", at positions 2841 to 2925 of the family's 2925-position model. The record is from RNAcentral. RNAcentral also lists the same sequence under 3 other names. Lineage: Bacteria; Pseudomonadati; Pseudomonadota; Gammaproteobacteria; Vibrionales; Vibrionaceae.